UACGAAGGGUGCUAGCGUUGUUCGGAAUCACUGGGCGUAAAGGGCGCGUAGGCGGCGCGGGAAGUCAUCGGUGAAAGUUCAGGGCUCAACUCUGAAUCGGCCGGUGAUACUCUCGUGCUUGAGCACUGUAGAGGCAGGUGGAAUUCCGGGUGUAGCGGUGGAAUGCGUAGAGAUCCGGAAGAACACCGGUGGCGAAGGCGGCCUGCUGGGCAGUAGCUGACACUGAGGCGCGACAGCGUGGGGAGCAAACAGG
Molecule: ribosomal RNA, 253 nt
Filed under: uncultured bacterium
Lineage: Bacteria
Description: partial 16S ribosomal RNA
Rfam family: Bacterial small subunit ribosomal RNA
Source: RNAcentral